RNAcentral lists this unclassified non-coding RNA (447 nucleotides) under Hevea brasiliensis (rubber tree). Lineage: Eukaryota; Viridiplantae; Streptophyta; Magnoliopsida; Malpighiales; Euphorbiaceae. The record is from RNAcentral.
UUCAACAUGAUGACAUUCAAGAGAGUGACCAGGUGUCCUUUGCUAUAAUAUCAUGCAGCCUACAGUAAAUCCAAUAUCUGUAGCAUCAGCAAACAAAUUCUGGAUUUGCAUAUAGGUGGCCUCUUUUGUUGCCAUCAGUGGAAUGUUGUGUAAAUUUAACUCCCAAAGGUGUAUGUGUAGCCUUACUCCAAAGGUGAGUGCCUAGCCUCUCGCCUUGCCGCUAGGUGAGGCAGACCCUUGUUGGAUAUUUGUCUCCUUUCGCCAUCCAAAACACUGAACUUUGGCUAUGUGUUCUUAAUAUUUCACGUUUUUGCCUUAUCUAUGUGAACUUGUAGCCUCAUUUUUAUAACUUUGUACGUUAAGAUGUUGAAUUAUAGUAGAAACAAUAGAGAAAUGAAACUAACAUGUAUCUUCCUUGGAAUGAAUGCUUAGUAGACUGUUGUCAAG